Molecule: long non-coding RNA, 2377 nt
Organism: Equus caballus (horse)
Lineage: Eukaryota; Metazoa; Chordata; Mammalia; Perissodactyla; Equidae
Source: Ensembl
GGUAAACGUGUGGCUAUGGUGCAGUGUCAAGACAGGAGUGGUGGGAGCUGGACUUAAGCCCUGACUUAAGGCUUUCCUAUUCAAAACUCUAAACCCACCUGCUAGCCAAAUAAGAUUGGGACACGAGAGCCGUAUUUGCCCUUCUGGGCCACCGGGUAUCUGAUGAAGAUAUCUCAUUACCUCAGGCUAGUCAAGACAGUUUAGGAUCCUGAUUCUAUAACAUCACUGAGGCUGCGGCUAUGGGUGUAGAAUGGCAGGUGUCUGCCUUAGCCCAACAUAUGGCAACCCUGAAUAAUACCUGACAUGCAAUAACUCUACUACAUGAAGAAAUUCCCGGAUGAGACAAGUAGCGUUACAAUAGAAUACAUGUGGCCUAGGACAUGUUUACCACAGCCCAAGGGGGGACCUGUGCCCUGAUCAAAGCAGAAUGCUGUUUAUAUCCCUGAUUAUGCCCACAAUAUUUCCUCCGCAAUGGCCUUCUCAUGUGCUCAUGUACGGGCCACUGACAACCAGUCCACAGACCCAGCAUCCGCUUGGAUACAAUCCCUCCCCUCCACCUGGCGACAUGUUUUCUUUGGUGUCCUUGUCUUUUUACUGCUUCUUUUAUUUUCAUGUUGUGCUCUCUAUUGCUGUCGUGGACUCCCGCUACAGUGCUCCUCUCUGUGUCUGGCUCGAGGGAAGCUGCGGAAAAAUGGCGCAAUAAGACUGUAAGGGCCAUUCGGGCACAUGGGGCGUGGAGUGCAGGGGCAUUAGCCCGCAUGCCCCUUUAACGGCCAUGUGUCCUUGAGGCUUCUUAUCCGGGUACAUGCCAACACUCACGAUGAUAGCAGGCCUGGGCUUGGCCACCCCAGCUGCUUUCUCGUGGGAUAAUUGGUACAAAGACCCUCAAGGUCUUGAGGAGGCUGUGGGGUAGACGGGGGUUUCUGGUCCUUGGAAUGCAAGUCAUACAGGAAUGAUUCCCCUUGGCAAGCAUGCAGCCUUUGUUCCUCUGCCCACUUAAGCAAGCUUCUCUCAGGGGCCAGCAGCGGGUGCACAUUGCUGUCCAGCCGGCCGCCACUGGACCUUCCCUGUACAUAACUCCCAAUAAACCUAUACGUCUCAUUAAAAACAAAACAAAACAAAAACUCUGCAUUUUAAAUACGCUUUGUGUGCUAUUAACAGUAAAAAUUACACUUGUAAAUGUAUUAAAUUAGAACUCUAUUGUACAACACACUCUGCUAGUGAUUACUCAAAACCUACCACUAUCCUCCACCUUCUGCCUUGUUGACAGAACCCUGAUUUGGUUCAGAGAAGCAAUGUAUCCAGUCUCACAUGGAUCAAAAUUGGUCUAAACUAAUCAUGAUAAUCCUUCCUUACUUUUCCAUCUCCCUAUGCAAGCGGAGGUGGCCAUGUGACCCACUUCUGGCCAACGAGGCAUAAGCAGAAAUCUGCUGGGAGUGUGGUCUGAGAAAGCUUUAGCCUUCCUGAUAAAAAGGGUUGAACACACCCGGCCUCCUCCCCGCCCUCCUUCUUUUUGCCCUAUAUUUGGGCAUGUUGGCUACUAUUCAAUGUACUGCAACCAUGGGGCAAGGCCAAGAGAUUUACCACAACACUGGCCACCAUCUUUAGCCACCAGACCAACACCAUCAGACUCCUAUUUCCAGACUUCUUGUUAAGUAAGAAAUUGAAACUCAUGUGUUUAAGCCUCUGUAAACUGGGUUUUCUGUUACUAGCAGCCAAAUACAUUUUUAACUGAGACCCUUUAAAUCACCAAUAUUCUAGGAAAAUAAAAUCCACCAUUAUCAUUUAUAAUCAAAGUAAGGAAAAUAUACCUGUCCACAGUCAGUACUAAUUGGGAAAUCUCACUCAUGCUAACUUCAGAAUAUCAUCAAAAAGCAUCUAUCCUGAACUUCCAGGCUUCUCUUAGAUUUGUUCUGGCUUAAUUAAAAAAAAAUAAUAAUGGCCUAUUGGGAAAGACAGCUAACUAUAGGGGGGUUUACUGCCAGGCUGAAGAGGGAGUGAGUACCCGGUGUAAAGAGAGGGACAGACUCCAGAAUGAACUCUCACCUGCUUUGACUAGGUUGGCGAGUUCAAGCCCUCAUACUUUGACAGCAAUUAGUCGCAUAUCAGCCCGUCUCUAUGCUUGGAAUUCCCAGUCUGAUUCUAGACUUGUGAAGAAAGAACCUCCAGGACAAGAACACCCACUUUGAUGAGCUCAGACCUAGGAGAAAGAAGUACAGAAACCUUCUGAAUACAGAACAUAUGUUACGUAUACUCUACUGUCACUCGUGCCAAGUGAAUAAAUACUUAUUACUUAUUAGCAUUUGCUUUCUCUUACCUGGUUGAUGUGGAAGGGAAUGAGGUGCACACUGGUUCAAGACUGCCUUUUUCUCUUUGC